CUACGGGGUGCUGCAGUGGGGAAUAUUGCACAAUGGGGGAAACCCUGAUGCAGCAACGCCGCGUGGAGGAUGACGCAUUUCGGUGUGUAAACUCCUUUUAUAUAGGAAGAUAAUGACGGUACUAUAUGAAUAAGCACCGGCUAACUCCGUGCCAGCAGCCGCGGUAAUACGGAGGGUGCAAGCGUUACUCGGAAUCACUGGGCGUAAAGCGCGCGCAGGCGGCCCCUUAAGUUGGAUGUGAAAGCCUACGGCUUAACCGUAGAACUGCAUCCAAAACUGAGGGGCUAGAGUCUGGGAGGGGAAGAUGGAAUUAGUUGUGUAGGGGUAAAAUCCGUAGAGAUAACUAGGAAUACCAAAAGCGAAGGCGAUCUUCUGGAACAGUACUGACGCUGAGGCGCGAAAGCGUGGGGAGCAAACAGGAUUAGAUACCCCCGUAGUC
RNAcentral lists this ribosomal RNA (439 nucleotides) under uncultured bacterium. Its description in RNAcentral is "partial 16S ribosomal RNA". It matches the Rfam family "Bacterial small subunit ribosomal RNA", at positions 339 to 795 of the family's 1533-position model. The record is from RNAcentral.